Molecule: ribosomal RNA, 600 nt
Filed under: uncultured bacterium
Lineage: Bacteria
Description: bacterial SSU rRNA
Rfam family: Bacterial small subunit ribosomal RNA
Source: RNAcentral
GAGUACGAUCGCAAGAUUAAACUCAAAGGAAUUGACGGGGCCCCGCACAAGCAGCGGAGCAUGCGGCUUAAUUCGACGCAACGCGAAGAACCUUACCAAGGCUUGACAUAUACAGGAAUAUGGCAGAGAUGUCAUAGCCGCAAGGUCUGUAUACAGGUGGUGCAUGGUUGUCGUCAGCUCGUGUCGUGAGAUGUUGGGUUAAGUCCCGCAACGAGCGCAACCCUCGUUCUGUGUUGCCAGCAUUUAGUUGGGGACUCACAGGAGACUGCCGGGGUUAACUCGGAGGAAGGUGGGGAUGACGUCAAAUCAUCAUGCCCCUUAUGUCUUGGGCUGCACGCAUGCUACAAUGGCUGGUACAAACGGCUGCGAUACCGCAAGGUGGAGCGAAUCCGAGAAAGCCAGUCUCAGUUCGGAUUGGGGUCUGCAACUCGACCCCAUGAAGUCGGAGUUGCUAGUAAUCGUAGAUCAGCAACGCUACGGUGAAUACGUUCCCGGGGCUUGUACACACCGCCCGUCACAUCACGAAAGUCGGUAACACCCAAAGUCAGUGGCCCAACCGCAAGGAGGGAGCUGCCAAAGGUGGGAUCGGUGAUUGGGAUG